UACGAACGCUGGCGGCAGGCCUAACACAUGCAAGUCGAGCGGAGCGGCGGACGGGUGAGUAAUGCCUAUGAAUCUGCCUGGUAGUGGGGGAUAACUUCCUUAUACGGGCGCUAAUACCGCAUACUUUCAGUUGAGCCUAGGUCGGAUUAGCUAGUUGGGGGGGUAAAGGCCUACAAAGGCGACGAUCCGUAACUGGUCUGAGAGGAUGAUCAGUCACACUGGAACUGAGACACGGUCCAGACUCCUACGGUAGGCAGCAGUGGGGAAUAGUGGACAAUGGGCGAAAGCCGGAUCCAGCCAUGCCGCGUGUGUGAAGAAGGUCUUCGGAGUGUAAAGCACUUUAAGUUGGGAGGCGUUACCAACAGAAUAAGCACCGGCUAACUUCGUGCCAGCAGCCGCGGUAAUUC
Molecule: ribosomal RNA, 407 nt
Filed under: uncultured bacterium
Lineage: Bacteria
Description: partial 16S ribosomal RNA
Rfam family: Bacterial small subunit ribosomal RNA
Source: RNAcentral